UGGUUCUCGCAUCGAUGAAGAACGCAGCGAAAUGCGAUAAGUAAUGUGAAUUGCAGAAUUCAGUGAAUCAUCGAAUCUUUGAACGCACCUUGCACCUCUUGGUAUUCCGAGAGGUACAUCUGUUUGAGUGUCAUGAAUUCCUCAACCUCUACACUUUCUUGUAAAGUGCGGAAGCGUUGGAUGCUGAGCGUUUGCUGUCUCAAAAUACAGCUCGCUUCAAAUGUAUAAGCAAUCUUUGUACUACUCGGAUUGACUUGGCGUGAUAAAAUCUUCGUCAAGGAUGCUUUACAGCAGCCGAAUGGUAUCGCAGUUGCUACCAAACCGUCGCACUUGUGCCACACUUUUAUUUUAGACCUCAAAUCAGAUGGGACUACCCGCUGA
This 381-nucleotide unclassified non-coding RNA is filed under the name uncultured fungus. RNAcentral describes it as "partial contains 5.8S ribosomal RNA and internal transcribed spacer 2". The stretch from base 1 to 133 matches the Rfam family "5.8S ribosomal RNA", at positions 22 to 154 of the family's 154-position model. The record is from RNAcentral. Lineage: Eukaryota; Fungi.